UAGGGAAUCUUCCGCAAUGGACGAAAGUCUGACUGAGCAACGCCGCGUGAGUGAAGAAGGAUUUCGGUUCGUAAAACUCUGUUGUUAGGGAAGAAAAAAUGUAUAGUAACUAUAUACAAAAGAGACGGUACCUAACCAGAAAGCCACGGCUAACUACGUGCCAGCAGCCGCGGUAAUACGUAGGUGGCAAGCGUUGUCCGGAAUUAUUGGGCGUAAAGCGCGCGCAGGUGGUUUAGAAAGUCUGAUGUGAAAGCCCACGGCUCAACCGUGGAGGGUCAUUGGAAACUAAUAAACUUGAGUGCAGGAGAGAAAAGUGGAAUUCCUAGUGUAGCGGUGAAAUGCGUAGAGAUUAGGAGGAACACCGGUGGCGAAAGCGGCUUUUUGGCCUGCAACUGACACUGAGGCGCGAAAGCGUGGGGAGCAAACAGG
RNAcentral lists this ribosomal RNA (429 nucleotides) under Verrucomicrobiota bacterium. Its description in RNAcentral is "Verrucomicrobia bacterium partial 16S ribosomal RNA". It matches the Rfam family "Bacterial small subunit ribosomal RNA", at positions 355 to 776 of the family's 1533-position model. Lineage: Bacteria; Pseudomonadati; Verrucomicrobiota. The record is from RNAcentral.